GGGGUGUGCUCAGAGCAGGGGGCCUGAAGAAUGGCUCCUCUGAUUAUAACACACCCAACAGGAAUCUGGGGGAAAUUGUGAUGAGGGGCCCACAAAACUUGUGACCUCCCUAUGAACAAAUGCCCUACAUGU
Small nucleolar RNA from Otolemur garnettii (small-eared galago), 132 nucleotides. The record is from Ensembl. NCBI's taxonomy places the organism in Eukaryota, Metazoa, Chordata, Mammalia, Primates, Galagidae.